GUGCUUCCUCUGAUUGCACCCUUUAAAAUAUCUACGGAUAUAAAUAUCAGAUAUAGUUUUGUUCUUAUACAUUCCUCAGCUGCUUGUAGUCUCCUCCGGCUAGUUUUCCAUGCUGUUCAAUCUGAAGUCCAUGACUUCCUUACCUUUUUCCGUCUAUUCUCUCUCCACAGGGAGAUGUACUCUCAGAGGGGAAUCUGUAGCUAAAGAACACACCUGCACCGUGCAUCCCAGACUCAUUCAAGACUCUUUUCAUUGAUGGAAGAAUUGAAUGUGGCCCUCACGUCCUGGUCAAAGCCCGUGACUCUGGAACUUUCAGGAGAGAAACAUCACAGAAGCAGCAAAUGGGAGUAUGUUUUCACACGUGGUUACACAUUGGGUUUUUGUACCGAUGAAUCCCCGUGGGAGAAGUUUGAAUUAAAGAGUUGCAGCUACAGUUACUGCACCAUCCUUGAGCUUUGAGGACCCCUUCUUGCUUGGAGCAAGCUGAGCUUUCCAGUCAACAGAGGCACUGUCUGCAUAUAUUCAUUCUUCAGGUCUCAACAGCCCCUCUGGAGUUAGUGCCAGGAAUAUUUUCCUGUUACAAGUAGGAACAAGAGAUAUUUUCUGGGGACAUGGUUGUAGAGCUGCAGAUAGCACUUGGGGUACAUUAUUCUGAAUCUGUCAGUCAGCUUUUUAUGCAACAAAUCAGAUGUUAUAGACAUUGAGGUACCUGCCUCCAUUCACUGGUCAAGGCCUUGCAGACCACAAACUGUUAUAUUCUCACCUUAAAACAAGAGAAAAAAAAUUGUAUUGAGAAUGCAUGAGUGGACAUUCCACUAGCAGAAAAACAGAUUACCUCUCCACCAAGCAGACUCCGAUCCCCAGGACUCUGAAAGCAACCUAGAAUGACAUUUUUUUUUGUUUCUGAUAGCUGGGAAUUUGAGAGGGCUGAAUGACUGAGGAGGGAGCAAUGGGUAAAGUUAUCUCCCUUUUUUCUUAUUCUUUUUUUCUUAUAUGAGCAUCACACAGCAGGCUGCUGAAACAGGCUUCUUCAAAGUCAUUAUAGCAAAUGCAGAUUACGUAUCUCACACAGCAGGCAGCUACAGUAAAUCUUGGCACAUCCAUCCAUUAACGUAUUGGUUUCGGAGAAGCCAUAGUUGCCAAUGUAGAUCAAUAAGCCAUAGAUUUUGAGUUUUUUAUGUUAUAGUAUGGGGCACUGCUUAGAAGGAAGGAUGAAUUAAGCAAAUGAUUUCCUGGAGUGAACAGUGGGCACUUGAGUCACAUGGUUAAAAUCCCCUAAGGCUGCUGGUUUCAGGGUAGUUAUCUCAGUUUCAGCUAUUAAGGUGACACACAGGGGGAGAAGACUAGUGUAAUCAUAACCCUGUGUGUCACGAGAUCUUUGAUAUUUUCCUUGGAUGACCUUGGAUACUGCUAUCUGAAAUAACACGUUGCUUGUGGCAGCAGUUCAUGCACGUUAGGU
This 1459-nucleotide long non-coding RNA is filed under the name Struthio camelus australis. RNAcentral describes it as "lncRNA (ENSSCUG00000009439.1)". The record is from RNAcentral. Lineage: Eukaryota; Metazoa; Chordata; Aves; Struthioniformes; Struthionidae.